AACGAACGCUGGCGGCAUGCCUAACACAUGCAGGUCGAACGAGACCUUCGGGUCUAGUGGCGCACGGGUGCGUAACGCGUGGGAACCUGCCCUUAGGUUCGGAAUAACUCCCCGAAAGGGGUGCUAAUACCGGAUAAUGUCUUCGGACCAAAGAUUUAUCGCCUUUGGAUGGGCCCGCGUUGGAUUAGCUAGUUGGUAGGGUAAAAGCCUACCAAGGCGACGAUCCAUAGCUGGUCGGAGAGGAGGAUCAACCACACUGGGACUGAGACACGGCCCAGACUCCUACGGGAGGGAGCAGUGGGGUAUAUUGGACAAUGGGGGAAAGCCUGAUCCAGCAAUGCCGCGUGAGUGAUGAAGGCCGUAGGGUUGUAAAGCUCUUUUACCCGGGAUGAUAAUGACAGUACCGGGAGAAUAAGCACCGGCUAACUCCGUG
Molecule: ribosomal RNA, 433 nt
Filed under: uncultured bacterium
Lineage: Bacteria
Description: partial 16S ribosomal RNA
Rfam family: Bacterial small subunit ribosomal RNA
Source: RNAcentral